UGGAGCAUGUGGUUUAAUUCGAAGCAACGCGAAGAACCUUACCAGGCCUUGACAUGCAGAGAACUUUCCAGAGAUGGAUUGGUGCCUUCGGGAACUCUGACACAGGUGCUGCAUGGCUGUCGUCAGCUCGUGUCGUGAGAUGUUGGGUUAAGUCCCGCAACGAGCGCAACCCUUGUCGUUAAUUGCCAUCAUUCAGUUGGGCACUUUAACGAGACUGCCGGUGACAAACCGGAGGAAGGUGGGGAUGACGUCAAGUCCUCAUGGCCCUUAUGGGUAGGGCUUCACACGUCAUACAAUGGUCGGUACAGAGGGUUGCCAAGCCGCGAGGUGGAGCCAAUCCCAGAAAGCCGAUCGUAGUCCGGAUCGUAGGCUGCAACUCGCCUGCGUGAAGUCGGAAUCGCUAGUAAUCGCGGAUCAGCAUGUCGCGGUGAAUACGUUCCCGGGUCUU
Molecule: ribosomal RNA, 448 nt
Filed under: uncultured Pseudomonadaceae bacterium
Lineage: Bacteria; Pseudomonadati; Pseudomonadota; Gammaproteobacteria; Pseudomonadales; Pseudomonadaceae
Description: bacterial SSU rRNA
Rfam family: Bacterial small subunit ribosomal RNA
Source: RNAcentral